GUCCAGCCGCCGCGGUCAUACCGGCAGCACGAGUGAUGGCCGCUAUUAUUGGGCCUAAAGCGUCCGUAGCCGGCCGGGCAAGUCCGUCGGGAAAUCCACCCGCUUAACGGGUGGGCGUCCGGCGGAAACUGCUCGGCUUGGGACCGGAGGACCCGAGGGGUACGUCCGGGGUAGGAGUGAAAUCCCGUAAUCCCGGACGGACCGCCGGUGGCGAAAGCGCCUCGGGAGGACGGAUCCGACGGUGAGGGACGAAAGCGAGGGUCUCGAACCGGAUUAGAUACCUGGGUAGUCC
RNAcentral lists this ribosomal RNA (292 nucleotides) under uncultured bacterium. Its description in RNAcentral is "partial 16S ribosomal RNA". It matches the Rfam family "Archaeal small subunit ribosomal RNA", at positions 456 to 747 of the family's 1478-position model. The record is from RNAcentral.